UGUGUUCUCAAUAAAUUAUGUGUCGUGUUACAUGCACUGUAACUAUACUUUAAUACUUGCAUGGUGCAGUGUGCAUGUACCCGGCUUUAACUAACUGUAUAUGCGUCACUCUAUAUACUACAUGUAUAUACUGUUCAAAGCUGAAGCUAAGUAAAGGUCCAACAGAAGCUAUAAAAGUAUGGCAACGUUACCCGGCAAGUCUAGACUUGCGAGUCCCGGUACCAGUGCAGCUAAUACCUUUCCCAGGCAUGCUAUAACAGUGAUAAAAGAAGGUCGCUUAUACAAACGUCAAAGAGGCACAAAGGCAACUAAUCUAAAGGGUUUGAAGUUUCAGAAGAGAUACUGUGUGCUCUCACCCCACUCACUCGAGUACUAUGAGAAUAAAAAGCAUAUUGAGAUGGGUCUUAACCCUUUCCUUGCCAUUCGUGAAAUCUGGAACAGGAGCGUCUUUAGGUCGAUCAAUUAGUGUGGAUCCGGCCUCACCACGCCUCCAAGUCAUUCUAUUAGUCUAGAUCCGGCUAGCAAUUCUAGCUGGGACUCCCAGUUCUAGCUCCUUUUGUUUAGCGUGUCAGAGACUGGGAGAAGAUGAUUGGCACUCCCUGGCUCCUUUGGAUGUACAGCUGUCCAGAUCCCUAGAACAUACCCUCCAUUCUGACGAGUUAUCAGUGCAUAGGGUGCUUACUAGAUUCUUGCCAGCCAGUACAGUUCAAGCUACACACAGCACCGCUCAACUAUUCUCUACCCCAUUAUCUAGCUAAAUCUGGUCCAACUAGACAGCAGACACAGCUAGUUAAUUCAGUAAAGCCAGGGGUAGCCCUACUUCUACGGUUGUUCAGUACCCACGGUAACAAUUCCUCUGGGCUGGGCUAACUAGUUGAGCCACGCCUCCCAAUUCUCAAGGCUAGGUACAUGUCUCUGUCUAGCUGCUUCUUCAGCUUCUUGCUCAGUUUUGUGGCUUAGAGAAAGGCCAGCUACUCAGGGGGAAGAGUCCAGAUGAAAGUCUGGCAGCCAGGUGACGUCCAAACGGUCAGUUAUUCUUUCCACCAACUUUUUAAUCUAGUCUAGUCCUGCUUGCACUGCUACUACUACUGCUGCCUACUGCUGCUACUCUUCCUAGCUAGUCAAAGGUUUCUUUUUUUUUUUUUAUAACUACAUAUGCACAAAGAGACAUCAAAGCUUACAUCAAAGGACACAGAUUUUUAGCCUACUUGACUGAUAAGGCGGUUACCUAGACUACAGUUUGUUUGUCAGGGAGGAGCUCACAUACAACUUCAUCUAAUUCAUCAUAACGAUUCCUUACCCAUUGUUGUAAUUUCUACAACAGAUUGCCAAGGAAAGAGAUAAUUACAACAGAAUUUACAACAGAGUGGGUUAGGGCCUCUCAUAUACAACUGAAUUCUUUAUCACAAUUUUAUUAAUCAUUGAAAUAAUACCCCUUUCCUCCCCUCUCCAAGGCCAAUUUAGACCAGGAGAGUACCAUCUAACAAAAAUCAGUCACACAGCACAUUAGCUAGCACAUGUGUGUCCGAUAACAGAGUGUCCUUUGCAUAUUCUUAUGCGACAGUGGGGACAUGCCAUUGCAGUGUGUUGCUGCUCUCUGCUAGGGAUCUUCUCCCGAACACACACUUGACAGCGCCCACGAGACACUCCGACACUAUUUGCACUCACACGUGCGCCCUGUGAUGGGGGGAAAACGAUAUUUAGACUGGCCAGACCUGAGGCACUGCUACGAGUACGUGGCACACCCAAUAGACUAUGAAUUAGUUCCAAUCGAAACCCUUUCAAAGGCAUGGCCUUUGAACCCACCCUGACACAGUUGUGCCUGUAUAGAAUGUAUGCAUUAUUCACACUAACGUCAAGGAAUUGAAAGAAAAUCCUGAACCAAUACCGCCGACACUUUCUAUCGUACCCAUAGGUUUUCCUCAUACGCCCUGUAUUGUCAACUCCUCCCAUGUACAUGUUAUAUGCAGGGAGACAGGGGGGGACACUCUGAGAGCGUAGGGUACCGUCUUUGUGCAUUCGCAUUACAGUGUGGGGCAUAUGGUCAGGGAACACAUUUGUUGCAAAGGACACAACUCUACGGUCGUUAAACAUAGAGUAAGAAAUAUCACCAACAGUCAUGGACGUAUAGUCACCUUUGUCGAGUACCACAUCCUUAAGACUUGCUGGGAAACCAGCAGCAUUCUUCAAAAUUGUGCCGACAGUAAACACAUUUUGCUUAGCCAACUCUUCUAUCAAUGGACCGGACGUGUAAAAGUUGUCCAUGUACACAACAUGCUGAUGACCAUAAAAAGGAGUGAGUAAACGAUGGACUACAUUUUUCACAAGCCCUUUCACAGCUAUCUUUUUCCCAGAGGAAUCGGUGAGCUUACCACUGUAUACAUCAAACACACAGAGAUACCCACAGCAUGAACAUGAGCAGCACCAUACCUUGAACCCCAGUUUAACAGGCUUCUUGGGCAUAUGAAUUUUCCCGCUUUUACGACCCUUGUACUUUAUCAUCAUCUCAUCAACGGAAAGCUCCUGACUGGGAUUAUACCUCAUGAAGUAGUUGGCUUUAAGAGUCUCUAAAACAGUUUUUAGCUUGCUAGUUACCUUACGUGCAUCAGUGAUGGACGUAUUGUCCUCACAGUGCAGAUACCGCCAUAAACUUUGGAACCUUUUGAGCGACAUUACAUUGCUCACACAUUGUACACCUAAAAGGGGAUCCUUGGACCAGUAGUCCGUAAUUUCAGGGAGCCUAUGAAUGCCCAUCUCUAGUACAAUCCCCAAAAACACCCACAAUUCGGCACUGUUUGUAGCUGACCAACCCUUAGCACCACACUGCCUAGCGUACAGGUUGGUCUGUUCGGC
Long non-coding RNA from Halichondria panicea, 2853 nucleotides. RefSeq lists it as uncharacterized. NCBI's taxonomy places the organism in Eukaryota, Metazoa, Porifera, Demospongiae, Suberitida, Halichondriidae. The transcript has 3 exons. The record is from RefSeq and is a predicted model, not a curated record.